Molecule: ribosomal RNA, 433 nt
Filed under: uncultured bacterium
Lineage: Bacteria
Description: partial 16S ribosomal RNA
Rfam family: Bacterial small subunit ribosomal RNA
Source: RNAcentral
AACGAACGCUGGCGGCAUGCCUAACACAUGCAAGUCGAACGAGACCUUCGGGUCUAGUGGCGCACGGGUGCGUAACGCGUGGGAACCUGCCCUUAGGUUCGGAAUAACUCCCCGAAAGGGGUGCUAAUACCGGAUAAUGUCUUCGGACCAAAGAUUUAUCGCCUUUGGAUGGGCCCGCGUUGGAUUAGUUAGUUGGUAGGGUAAAAGCCUACCAAGGCGACGAUCCAUAGCUGGUCUGAGGGGAUGAUCAGCCACACUGGGACUGAGACACGGCCCAGACUCCUACGGGAGGCAGCAGUGGGGAAUAUUGGACAAUGGGCGAAAGCCUGAUCCAGCAAUGCCGCGUGAGUGAUGAAGGCCUUAGGGUUGUAAAGCUCUUUUACCCGGGAUGAUAAUGACAGUACCGGGAGAAUAAGCUCCGGCUAACUCCGUG